RNAcentral lists this ribosomal RNA (426 nucleotides) under uncultured Paraglomeraceae. RNAcentral describes it as "bacterial SSU rRNA". It matches the Rfam family "Eukaryotic small subunit ribosomal RNA", at positions 459 to 886 of the family's 1831-position model. The record is from RNAcentral. Lineage: Eukaryota; Fungi; Glomeromycota; Glomeromycetes; Paraglomerales.
GGGAGGUAGUGACAAUAAAUAACAAUACGGGGUCCUUUAGGGUCUCGUAAUUGGAAUGAGUACAAUUUAAAUCUCUUAACGAGGAACAAUUGGAGGGCAAGUCUGGUGCCAGCAGCCGCGGUAAUUCCAGCUCCAAUAGCGUAUAUUAAAGUUGUUGCAGUUAAAAAGCUCGUAGUUGAACCUUAGGCCCGUGCGGGCGGUCCGUCCUCUGGGCGAGCACUGCUCCGUCGCGGGUCUCACCUUCUGGCGAGCGUGGAUGCCAUUUAUUUGGUGUCCGCGGGAACCAGGACCUUUACCUUAAAAAAAUUAGAGUGCUCAAAGCGGGCUCCGACGCUUGAAUACAUUAGCAUGGAAUAAUGAAAUAGGACGAUGGUUCUAUUUUGUUGGUUUCCGGGACGGUCGUAAUGAUUAAUAGGGAUAGUUGGG